Myodes glareolus (Bank vole) is the source of this 3353-nucleotide non-coding RNA. Lineage: Eukaryota; Metazoa; Chordata; Mammalia; Rodentia; Cricetidae. The record is from RefSeq and is a predicted model, not a curated record.
UCCAAUUCGGGGGAAAAAAAAACCCAAAAAUGUAUCAUAAAUUUUUUUAAAAAAUGAGGGAACAAGACCAUAUUUAGUUAUGUGUAAAAUUGUAUAGUAUGCUCAAUUAGCAAGCUGGAUGGUUUAUUAGAGUUGAAAGUAGCUUAAUAACUGAAAAAACUAUAAAGUCAUACAUAGUUCAAGCCAGUUUAAACAUCAAAUCUGGUUUCCCACAACUGAUUAACCUGAACAUGGUUUAGUAUAACACUAAUCCUUUAAUUUAACAAUCUAUAAAUGGCCUCCAUAACAAGUUCCUCAGCGCCCCUUCUUAGAUUCAUAACGAUGAGCCACAUCGCCCACGCAAUCCAGCAUCCGUGUUAAUGAGCACCUCUGGACCUUAACGGAAUAGCCCUGGUCCGCAUGAGCAUCAAUUACAGAGGCAGCGUCUCCAAAGGUGGAAGUGGGCGAUACAUCUGCCGCGGCAUUGCUGCCUCGGUCCACGGGGCUGAAAGGACACCUGUGGGGCCAGAGGGCUUUGCGGGCUAAGUGUGUACCCUCAGGGUCAGCAGCUCCUGGCCCUGUCUGACAUGGAGCUAAGCUGGGGCCUAGGAUGAAAGGAGGAAAUGCCAGUACUUAAUUAUGACUGCAAUGCUAUCGGAGAGGAAAUGCCAAAAGCACAGAAGUGUCUCAGAGCGACGUGGUACCUCCAGUGUAGCUUGUGUGCUUGCUGGUAUUUUUUCCAAGGACAGGCGUAGGGUAUGGGGUCAACCUGCGCCCCUGACAAUGUCUAAUUUUGCAGCGGAGCAAAAAAAAAAAAAUGUUCUGACCUACCUCACUGCAGCAGCUGAUCCCUGCUAACUUGUCUUCAGAGCUCAGCUUGGGCUGACAGAGAAAAGACGCCCACUCACACACAUAGACACCCUGGGAUUCUGCGAGAAAAGAAUGAGAGAGGCAGCUGCUGGGUAGAGCCAACACUUCCUGCCUCUCUCCAGUUUACAGAGCCUAGCUGAGUUCAGGCCCCAUCUGCACAUAACUGCACAUUAAAGGGAGAGCACCAAGGAGAAAGAGGAAGGAGGCUACGGUGUUACAGGGGGCAGGGGCGGGGAACUACAGUCAGAAAGACUGUUAUUGCUAGGCAACAUCAGUUACCUUUCUUAUCACAGAGACAAACUAUCGGACACUAGGCACACACAGCUGAGGGGAAGGUGAAGACCUCAAUUGUGGGCCAAAGGUUUGGCUCACUCGUCUGCUGCUGCGAGAGAGGAGAAGAAAUAGCUUGUAACUUAUUCAAGGAAUAAGAUAAGCGCAAGCAUUUGUCUGAUAAGGUGCUAAUCUCAAACACGUUUUCUGCCCCGAUGCAGGGCUGCGGGGCACCCAUUUGAUUAAUGCCACCAAUCACUCCAGCGUCUCUGGGUGAGUGCCUCUGUCCUCCUCUUCACCUUCCAGGCCAUGGAUCCCCAACAAGAUAAAGAACUCUUAGGCAGCGAGACAGCUGCCUAGGGUCCUGGAAAUCCAAGCGGGGGAGCGGGGUACUCCUUACCCACAACACACGUUUCCAGGCACCGGAGCAGCAGCCUGCAGUACUACAGUCUGCGAAGGAGGCACAAUUCAGAAAUCCAUGCAAAACUAAUUGAGGGCAGGUUGCUCUACCAGGCCCCAUCAAUCACUCAGCGCUGCCACUCUGCCCCCAGUGUGAUGACAGCAUGUCGGCUGCUCCCAACGCUAUCUACCGCGAGGUCUGCGCACCGCACUUGCUGCUAUUUGGAGAUGGCUAGAUAGUGGUGACAGCCCGUUAACCAUGAAAAAUGGGAGCUCGGGACUGGAGGGGGCUGAGUACCUCUGAAUGUACUUGCAAAGGCACAAGACUGUUAGCACAGUUGUGUUGAGAACUUGAACAUUUCCUCCCAGAUCAGACGGAGUUGUCAACCUCGGAACUUUUACAUAAGAGAGAGAAGGAGGGCUGGGAUGCAGGGCUGGUAGAGUGUUCGCCUAGCAGGCAUGCCUCGUGAAGUAUUUGGGUUCAAACCCAGCACCACGUAAACCUGACAAGGUAGCAUAGGCAGGAUGCGGAGGCAGGAGGAUAAGUUCCAGAUCAUUCUGGGUCACAUGGGGAGCACGAGACCCUGUGUCCCAAACAACAAAGAGCAUUAGAAUCGUGCAUAGCUAAGAGCUACCCUACCUGCUGUAUUAUGAAAAACAGCAAGUGUAAGAAGACAUUCAUUGGACCAGAUGGCCCAGUUCUAGGUCCUUCUGCAUUUAAUCCUCUUCUCCACAUGAAAUAUCUAGUUCAGCUUAUUGGAAAUUCUCUGCUAAAGGCCCUUCUUCCAUCUGAGGAUGUUCACACCAAUAUUAGUAACUACAAUUUACUGACUUUCGUGUGUAUACUUUUAUGUCGUGUAUAUCCAAGGCAACAUCAGAUUUUAGCUACAAGAACCCCAAGUAUGAACUAUUUUUGGCAGCUGGAUGAGUAAACUCAGUCAACAAGGAAAACAAACAUGCUGCCUUACAAGUUCCCAAAAGAAGAAGAAUUGAGACAUGAACCCAGGGCCCUCUGCUCCCCAAGUCCAUGGACAUGAUCAGUAAGCAAUGAUAACGGUGGACAAUACCUAAAGCCUACUUUGCACUGGGCACAUGAAGAUCCAGAAGGGCUGGCCAUAGCCUCAAUCACUAGGAGAGUCUCAUAAACAUGAGGGUCUUGGUAGGAUGCUGCCUCUUGCAGGUCCGGGACACGUGCUUUCAGAGGGCAUACUGCAUGGCUACUAUAAUGUAUGGGACUACCUUCUUGCCAGGGUCUCUGUUCCUAAGAUACAGAACAGUGCUGAGAAUACUUCCCUACCUAAAAACGCAUGAAGAACUGAUGCUCUCCCUUCAGUAAAGCGAUUACCUUACAAAUAUGAGGCCAUGAGUUUGCUGGAUACCCAGAAUCCAGGAAAAAGCCAGCCAUGGUGACACGCCCUCUUAACUCGAACAGUCACAGGAUGGAUGGAAGAUACAGGUAGAUCCCUGGAGUUUCCUCAUCGGCUAGCCUCACUGGCUUGGUGCAGUUCCAGACCAAUGAGCAAGCCCAUCUCAAGCAAAAGGUGGAACGGAUGUGAGAAACGACACAAAGGCUGUCCUCUACACACAUGCACCAUGUGCUAACGUGCAUUUGUACCUGAACAUACCACACACACACACACACACACACACACACACACACAUGCACGCACACACGCCUGGACAACGCUCACUAAAGUCUGUUUACCUCCAUACAGAUCUGUGAAGGCCAUGAAGGAAUGUGCUCUGCAAGGAAGUAUAAAGGAAGAGAUGCUAGUUCACAUUAAAGACGUUAAAUCCGGCUGAUGCAUCUAUUAAAGGAACUGUUUGUUGCCAUA